This is a long non-coding RNA of Bombyx mori (domestic silkworm), 2227 nucleotides long. RefSeq lists it as uncharacterized. Lineage: Eukaryota; Metazoa; Arthropoda; Insecta; Lepidoptera; Bombycidae. The transcript is spliced from 3 exons. The record is from RefSeq and is a predicted model, not a curated record.
AAACAAAGACAAAAUGAUGUCACUACAUUAAACGCGUCAAGAGAUCAUCGGAUUUUCGAAGAAUUCCUAAUCACAACGAAAAACUCCGCGAAAAAUCAAACCUAAAAUUCAUUAGCAUAAUCGUAAAACAGGUUUUUAGAUGUCUUCUCUGCGGAUUUAGAGGAAAACGGUGCGAAAACUCUGUGUGUACCUUCAAAUAAAGCUUAAUUAUGGGACUCUGAAGUAGCUUCGUACAAGCUGAAGAUAAUUACUCGGCUUCAGAUCCCGCGAUUCAAGCUGCGCAUACCGGGGAUAUCAAACACUGAAACAAAUAUAUUGACAACACAAAUAUCGAAAUCGACACAAAAAAUUCAAAUAGGAUCAAGCCUGUAUGAAACAAAUUGACUUUUUGGCGGGAACGCGAGGAGUGAAGUUGUGUGAUUUGUUCUAUUUUGUCUAUUUAGUGUUUCUUCGAGUUUAAAUGUGUAAUAAUGGUGGUUUAUUUACUGUUUAAUAUCUGUGAAAGUGCACAAAUGUGGGAAAAUGAAACAAAGCCGCUGGACGUAACUUCUCGGGAUCCUCCAAAAAGUCCACUGAAAAAAUCUUAGUAAAUGACCACCAUUUUACUGAGAUUAUAUUUCAUCCCAUUUCAUUUAAUUUCAUCCCAGUUGAUUAAUGUCUCAAAUUAAUGAUCUUCAUUUCAUUUCACUCCAUAUAUAAUAUUAUUUUUCAUACAAAUAUGAAUAUAAAUUAAAAUAAGAUAUAACUUAAAGGUCUCAGUUACCAGGUCAUAAAAUCCCUUAAAAAAAAUGAAACAAAUUUGUUGUUCAAUGAAAGAUAUCUUUUUUGUAAGUUUACUGGUGGUUUUUUUUUAUUUUGCUCAGGAGGAAAUCGCCGGACUCCCAACCUCCACUAGGGAUGGCGGGCGGGGUAUGUCGGAGUCCUCUACUAGUCUAAAAUCUCCUGUCACUCAACAACCCACGUCCGAACCUCGCAUGAGACAGAACUCAUAAAAAAGAAAAGGGGGGAGAGUGAAACGUUUAGUGCGGAGCACAUCUCUCACUCACAUCACCCUCUCCCUUUACUGGUGGAUAGCAUGUAUUGUAAAUCCGCAUAAGUCCCUACCCUGCUUAUUUCUGUUGUGAAGCAGUCACAUCUCCGAUUGGAAGAAUGGCUGUUGUAUAACUAAAUAUAUAUAAAGUCACAACAUAGACUUGUCUUAGCAUGCGUGACGGCAUUAACAUUAUGAUAUUUAUGACAUCUUGUAACCAUAAUAAUAUAAUAACGGGUGAACUGUGAAUCUGUCCAUUGCUGUAGCUCUGUUUCCUCUAACCAACUUCCAGUCACAGUAUUGGCAGUCAGACAUGACUACUGCAAACCUAACCAUUUGGUACCACCUUCUUGCCUAUUUUUGCCAUUAAUUCUAGUUGGAACAGAGAAUACUGCGCAUUUCAAUGAAAUUAAAAGUCCAUUUUAAAAUGCUGUGCGGGUCACAAUUGACUCGGAACUCUGGUAGCCGUUUGGCACAAAAAAUUGAGCUCAUGUGUCUAUCCAUUAAGAAAAAAGUAAUUGAGACAAACAUUACAAGCAAACCAUUUGAUAUUGGUAAUAUCAUAAUAUUGCAAGGCCUGUUUCAUUAAGACUAUAUUGAGAGGUGAAAGGCUAUUUGGUUUAACCGACAUUUCACUUAAUACACAACAUUAACUUUGUAAUUCAAAGUGUGUUUUAUUUUGUAUUAGCAUCAACAGUUCGAUGUUUUAAUUGAACUUCAAUUAAGUUAACUCCAUUCAAAUAGCUGAAGAAUUUGUUUCUUAUGAUAUUUUUUCUAAAUUUUAAAUUUUAAUUGGUUUCCUGUAUCGUUGCAAUAACUUCACUUAACCCACAUAGCCUUUCACCCCUCUAUAUGUACAAGAAUCAUGUACUCAAAACCUAAUCCGUACAGUACAAUACAAACUUGACCAAAUAACUAAUCUCUAGAAAGAAAUUAUUGAAUGACCUAAUAUGUACACUACAAUUUCAAUAACUCGGAAACUCUCAUAGUAAUGAAGUAUAUCUGAAGAAAAAUAGUGUUGCUCUGAUAAAUUCACUAGUGGUUUCGUUGAAUACGUUCCCUAAUUGACCUUUUUCUUUAACAUUACCUUGAUAGUGUUUAAAAUAAAAGCUUAAGUCUUAAAAAAUAAAAAGUUACCAUGGAUGUACUUUUCAAGUUAUUUUUCCAAUUUAUAUAUUAAACAAAUGAAUAUUUGGA